AUACGAAGGGUGCAAGCGUUACUCGGAAUUACUGGGCGUAAAGCGUGCGUAGGUGGUUGUUUAAGUCUGUCGUGAAAGCCCUGGGCUCAACCUGGGAAUGGCGAUGGAAACUGGGCGACUAGAGUGUGGCAGAGGGUAGUGGAAUUCCUGGUGUAGCAGUGAAAUGCGUAGAGAUCAGGAGGAACAUCCGUGGCGAAGGCGACUGCCUGGGCCCACACUGACACUGAGGCACGAAAGCGUGGGGAGCAAACAGGAUUAGAUACCCUGGUAGUCCACGCCCUAAACGAUGCGAACUGGAUGUUGGGUGCAAUUUGGCACGCAGUAUCGAAGCUAACGCGUUAAGUUCGCCGCCUGGGGAGUACGGUCGCAAGACUGAAACUCAAAGGAAUUGACGGGG
This 397-nucleotide ribosomal RNA is filed under the name uncultured bacterium. RNAcentral's name for it is "partial 16S ribosomal RNA". It matches the Rfam family "Bacterial small subunit ribosomal RNA", at positions 523 to 918 of the family's 1533-position model. The record is from RNAcentral.